RNAcentral lists this ribosomal RNA (249 nucleotides) under Triticum aestivum (bread wheat). Its description in RNAcentral is "partial small subunit ribosomal RNA". The record is from RNAcentral. Lineage: Eukaryota; Viridiplantae; Streptophyta; Magnoliopsida; Poales; Poaceae.
AUGUCAAUGCCAAUUGAAUCAAGGCUAUUAGCUGUCAAUUUGAACUUUUUGGUAUUUUCUGUUUCUUUGGAUGAUAUGAUGGGUCAAUCAUUUGCUUCAUUAGUUCCAACAGUGGCAGCUGCGGAAUCUGCUAUUGGAUUAGCCAUUUUGGUUAUUACUUUUCGAGUCCGAGGGACUAUUGCUAUCGAAUCUAUAAAUUGCAUUCAAGCCCAAAGAGGUGCAUAUGGUACCCAAAUAAGAAUAAGAUAG